Molecule: ribosomal RNA, 253 nt
Filed under: uncultured bacterium
Lineage: Bacteria
Description: partial 16S ribosomal RNA
Rfam family: Bacterial small subunit ribosomal RNA
Source: RNAcentral
UACGGAGGGUGCGAGCGUUGAUCGGAAUUACUGGGCGUAAAGGGCACGCAGGCGGUCUGUCAAGUCGGAUGGGAAAUCACCGGGCUCAACCCGGGAAAUGCAUUCGAAACUGGCAGACUAGAGUAUUGUAGAGGAGGGUAGAAUUCCAGGUGUAGCGGUGAAAUGCGUAGAGAUCUGGAGGAAUACCGGUAGCGAAGGCGGCCCCCUGGACAAAGACUGACGCUCAGGUGCGAAAGCGUGGGGAGCAAACAGG